UCUACGGGUGGCAGCAGUGGGGGAUAUUGCACAAUGGGGGAAACCCUGAUGCAGCGACGCCGCGUGGGCGAAGAAGUAUUUCGGUAUGUAAAGCCCUAUCAGCAGGGAAGAAGAAAUGACGGUACCUGAGUAAGAAGCACCGGCUAAAUACGUGCCAGCAGCCGCGGUAAUACGUAUGGUGCAAGCGUUAUCCGGAUUUAUUGGGUUUAAAGGGAGCGUAGGCGGUUCCAUAAGUCAGCGGUAAAAUCGUGCGGCUCAACCGUACCGUGCCGUUGAAACUGUGGGACUUGAGUAUGCGCAGGGUACAUGGAAUUCGUGGUGUAGCGGUGAAAUGCUUAGAUAUCACGAAGAACUCCGAUCGCGAAGGCAUUGUACCGGAGCAAGACUGACGCUGAGGCUCGAAAGUGCGGGUAUCAAACAGGAUUAGAUACCCCAGUAGUC
This 441-nucleotide ribosomal RNA is filed under the name uncultured bacterium. RNAcentral's name for it is "partial 16S ribosomal RNA". It matches the Rfam family "Bacterial small subunit ribosomal RNA", at positions 338 to 795 of the family's 1533-position model. The record is from RNAcentral.